UUCCACAAUAAUCCAUUGAAAUUAGAUCCAAAAGCGAUUAUAUACAUCAAGCAUAUAAUGGUUAAGAAUCACACCAAUAGGAGAUUUAAAAUUGAAAUUCAAUAAGUACUUCAAUUAUUCGAUGACAAAAACGUGAUUGAAUUUGUUGACUACUGAACUCCGAUCUAACAAAAACAAUUCGCUAAACCUACCACAGGCAGAUGUGAGUUUGGUCACCACUCCCCGAUCGGACUAGCCCGUCGUUAUCUGAGGAAAACAUCAUGAUCACCCUAUCAAUCAUAUACACUUACCACAAGUGAUGUCAUCACUACCCCAAACCGCCAAUCCGAAGCCAUAAUUCUCAAGUCCCUUACAGGUCAUCAUUACCUGGGAAAAACAUUGAUGCAUGGCCACCUGCCUCGUCGACCAAUCACAGGAAAAUUCGACGAUCCGAGUUCCGAGCUCGGUAUUAUAGCUGAUUUGAUUGAUUUGACAUAAUUUCGACUGGAACCAUGUAUAAAUAUUAGGGCAAAAAUCUUGUAAAUGGCAAGUAAAUUAAUGUAAAAGCUCACGACACAAUUACACUUUCUCAACAUAUUUUGUGACUUCUUUUAAUAAUAAAUUCUCCUUUUUCUUAAAGUUGGCUUAAAAUUAGCUUUGCUAAUUUUGACGUAAACAGUUUGGCGCUAGAAGGAGGGCCCCCAAUUGUGAAAAAUAGUCUCAUUCUCCCCAUAAAAUUCGAGAGCCAUGAGUCAUAGCUCAAGUUCUAGAAACCUAUCUCACACCCAACCUUAUGAAAUGAAUACUCCACCAAGUUCUCUAAGACGACAUGACCCUCAAAUGAUCGCCAUGAGCGAAUCCCUAGAAAAACUAACAAAUGCAGUGGGACGAUUGGAAUGGAGUCAAUCCCAUAUAUCCCUACCAGAUAUCGAGGCAAAAUCCCCUGCGAGGACAAGACCAAGACAUCCCCCCAUCAGGAGGACUCUCCACUUUUCAAGAGGAGAAUCCUCAAGAAGCCUAACUGACGAAGUCAGGAGUAAGGAUCCCAGGGCGAGAAGAACUGGCAGUGUGUUCGACAGACUGGGGACCCAGCACUCGCUAACUCCUACGCAAGGACAAACUCACCCUAACCUUAAGCUUUCUCUGGAACAGACAGAACCAGAGUUGAGCGCCCUGAAAAGCCGCAUAGCUGACUUGGAGGCUAACAACAAAGGUGGCAUCGAAGAUUAUCUCACCAAACGACAUUCCCCCUUUACUGAGGAUGUCCUUAUGGAAUCAUUACCUGAAAAAUUGAAAAUUCCCCAGACAGCCGAAUAUGAAGGAGAUGGUGAUCCUCUCAGCCACCUUGACAAAUACACCUCGUGGAUGGAACUGCAGGGGGCAAGCAACGCAAUUAUGUGCCGGGUAUUCCCCCUGACUCUAGAAGACAAAGCUCAGAGAUGGUUUAGGAGACUACACCAAAGGUCAGUAAAAAAUUGGAAUGACCUGGCCACGACAUUCUUGGCCUAGUCCAUGGGCUCCAAGGCUAUAACCACACCCAAAGAACAGCUAGUAAGCAUCAAACAGGAAAGAAGUGAAUCCCUCAAAAGCUAUUUGAGCAAAUUCAACAAGUAAUCCAUGGAAGUGGAAAAAAUAUCUGACGACGCAGCACUCAUGGCCGUACUAGUCGGACUUAGGCCCAAAAUGAGAUUUUGGUGGUCAGUACACGAGGACGGCCCAAGAACUUAUCACGAGUUCUUGAACUGAGCUGAGAAAUACAUAAGUGUUGAAGAGGCAACCUUUGACCAAGAAGAAGCCAGAUGUGAACCUGACUUCAGCAAUACGGUGAACGAAAAAAAAUCAAGCGGCAGUCCUCAGCCCGAAAGAAAGAAGGAGAGGAGUCAAAGAAAACGUCAUAAGACUCAGCCAUACAAAUUUCGAGAAUACCACCCACUCAAAGCCUCCUUGGAAGAAGUAUUCACGCAAACUAAUGAAAAAGUGGCAUUUCGCAGGCCUUGAUCCUGAAGGACGGGCAAGCAGGACACCACCAGGGACGAUACUGUCGAUAUCACAGGAUGGUGGGCCAUGACACUGAUAACUGUCGAGAAUUAAAAGAGAAAGUUGAGUCCUUAAUUCAUAGAGGUCGGUUACUUGAGUUUGUUGCCAAACCGAAUGAAGCAAAUCAACCUACGACGCAGUAGUCGCUGUUGCAGGGGCCUCCCGCAUAAGCUCAGCAGGCAGUCCCUAUUCGUAAUCCACCCCCACGCGUCGAAAUCAAAAUGAUGGUGGGAGAAAAUUAGUAUGUUGAGAGGUCUAGAAGGGCAAAAAGAAGACAAGCCCAAGUGCAAGAAUCGUCCCGAACUACUGGAAUCAAACCCCGCAGAUCGGGAUAGACCCUGAAUGGUUCUGGUUCACGGAGGAAGAUUCUGAAGGAAUCCUCCAAGAUCAAAGUGACGCCCUAGUGGUCACAAUGCCAGUUGUCAGAGUAAAAAUCCACCGGACAUUGGUAGACAACGGAAGUUCGGUCAACAUACUGUACUCACG
RNAcentral lists this long non-coding RNA (2502 nucleotides) under Olea europaea subsp. europaea. Lineage: Eukaryota; Viridiplantae; Streptophyta; Magnoliopsida; Lamiales; Oleaceae. The record is from RNAcentral.